Molecule: ribosomal RNA, 440 nt
Filed under: uncultured bacterium
Lineage: Bacteria
Description: bacterial SSU rRNA
Rfam family: Bacterial small subunit ribosomal RNA
Source: RNAcentral
CCUACGGGUGGCAGCAGUGGGGAAUAUUGCACAAUGGGCGCAAGCCUGAUGCAGCGACGCCGCGUGAGCGAUGAAGGCCUUCGGGUCGUAAAGCUCUGUCCUAAGGGAAGAAUAAUGACGGUACCUUAGGAGGAAGCCCCGGCUAACUACGUGCCAGCAGCCGCAGCAAUACGUAGGGGGCGAGCGUUCACGGGAAUCACUGGGCGUAAAGGGUGCGUAGGAGGCUCUGCAAGUCAGUAGUUAAAUCCCUCGGCUCACCCGAGGUAAGCUCUUGAAACUGUAGGGCUUGAGUGCAGGAUAGGAGGGCGGAAUGCCUAGUGUAGCGGUGAAAUGCGUAGAUAUUAGGAGGAACACCAGUGGCGAAGGCAGCUCUCUGGACUGCAACUGACGCUGGGGCACGAAAGCGUGGGGAGCGAACAGGAUUAGAUACCCCUGUAGUC